UACGGGGGGAGCAAGCGUUGUUCGGAUUUACUGGGCGUAAAGGGCGCGUAGGCGGUCAGCACAAGUCAGUUGUGAAAUCUCCGGGCUUAACUCGGAAAGGUCAACUGAUACUGUGCGACUAGAGUGCAGAAGGGGCAACUGGAAUUCUCGGUGUAGCGGUGAAAUGCGUAGAUAUCGAGAGGAACACCUGCGGCGAAGGCGGGUUGCUGGGCUGACACUGACGCUGAGACGCGAAAGCGUAGGGAGCAAACAGG
This 254-nucleotide ribosomal RNA is filed under the name uncultured bacterium. Its description in RNAcentral is "partial 16S ribosomal RNA". It matches the Rfam family "Bacterial small subunit ribosomal RNA", at positions 524 to 776 of the family's 1533-position model. The record is from RNAcentral.